This 374-nucleotide long non-coding RNA is filed under the name Eucalyptus grandis. Its description in RNAcentral is "long non-coding RNA (EGRA_LNC006932)". The record is from RNAcentral. Lineage: Eukaryota; Viridiplantae; Streptophyta; Magnoliopsida; Myrtales; Myrtaceae.
GACGCAAUGAAGGGCUCAUCAUCCUACAGUCUGAGCUGCCCCGCUGCGGAUACCAGUGCCUCGUCAGGUUCCACGUUUCAUCCCUUCGCGUAAGUUACAACUUACAACCAAUCUAAAAGGGAACUCAGUUCUUUGCUUGUGCUAGAAGAUGAUGAACAGCAUAGGCUCAAUACAUAAUCUAAAUGCCACAGAUCAAAUGCAGAAAUUGCUCAAGAAGCGAAAAAGAGGCCAUAAGCUUCGGAGACUCAUCGCCCUAUGUACAAGAGAAGAUAAAAAGGUAUUGCAUAGUGACUUGUCAUUCUGCUAUUCGAAGCCACAGAAGAUGACAAGGAUAUCUACGCAAAACAGACUCAGAGCAUCAAUCAGGUUCUGGC